RNAcentral lists this long non-coding RNA (1251 nucleotides) under Papio anubis (olive baboon). RNAcentral's name for it is "lncRNA (ENSPANG00000043534.1)". Lineage: Eukaryota; Metazoa; Chordata; Mammalia; Primates; Cercopithecidae. The record is from RNAcentral.
CUGGUGUAUAGGGGUGCUAGGAUAAUUUUUUGUUCUAAUAUUUGGUCUUUGAUUCAGGUUCCUGACACAGAGCUCCUAAGACCUUUGUAAUUUUCUGAGUGAUAGGAGCAUCUGGCACAGAGCUCCUACAUUCCUUGGAAUUUCCUGGGUGAGAGCAGUGUCUUUUGUUUUCUGGUUGCCAGGGAACCAACAAUGUGAUUAGAAGAUUGGAACCUUCAGCUCCUGCCCCAAAAUCCCUGGACCUCUGAGGAGAGGAGAGGGGCUGAAGGUUGAGUUGAUCACUGAUGUCAAUGACUUAAUCAAUCUUAUCUAUGUAAUUAUGCCUCCAUAAAAUCCCAAAAUGACUAAUUUCAAAUAACUUCUUGGUUAGUGAAAACAUUUGCAUGCCAGGAGGCGCUCACACUCCAACUCAACAGCAUGGAACAAGUGCCUGUUUCAGUCUCUUAUUUAAGCACCGCAGAUGCGUUGAAACCUAAUAAAAACAGUUCCCUGGCAUAUCAACCCUAACCAGAGAGUAAGAAGCUAAAAAUCUGUGAAUCGCCUACAACCAAAGGGGAGUCUUUUGAGAGCUGCAUUGUUAAAACUCUGAGAACAGGUCAAGAGCUCAGGGUGAUCUUUGAGCUAACGAGGACGCUAGGUGACACCAAGCCCAAACACUCUCUGAGCAAGUGCCUGGUCCUGAGAGGUGAUCGAGGUCACACGACUAUAAGAUAUAGGCAGGAACUGAAAAAUCACAUCUCCAGACUCAUCACUUGCUCUGCAAAGUCAAUGUAACCUAUGGAAAUGGAAUUGCCCUUUUGCACAAUGUCACUGAAGACAUAGUAGAGAAGGAAAGCAAGUGUGAAGCCAAAAGUAUUUGUGAAGUCUGAACUACCUGUUCUGAACUUAAAUUUCAAAAACAUUGUUUGAAGUGACUCUGAUAUUAUUUUUAUUUACUAUAUUAGAAACAGCCCUUUCUUAGUUCAGACUUCCAAGCUAGUCACAUAAAUUAAAGCAGGAUCUCAUGAGGGCUGAUGAGAGAGAGGAGAGAGAGAGAGAGAGAAAAGACAGGUAACUUCAUACAGGCAAGCGGAAGUAUAUGUUUUAAGUAAGACUUUGAGGGGACAUUGCCAGAUUAAAAUUCUUGUCCUUAAUUUUUCAAAUGAUACCCUCCUUAGUAAAUUUAAAUACUAUGCCAACUUCAAUUCAUUCAGAUACAUCACCUACAAUAUUAAUUUAAUUGCUCCUCUAUUCCAUUCUGGUUUCUCUUGU